AUUGAACGCUGGCGGCAGGCCUAACACAUGCAAGUCGAGCGGAGCGGCGGACGGGUGAGUAAUGCCUAGGAAUCUGCCUGGUAGUGGGGGAUAACGUCCGGAAACGGGCGCUAAUACCGCAUACUAUCAGAUGAGCCUAGGUCGGAUUAGCUAGUUGGUGGGGUAAAGGCCUACCAAGGCGACGAUCCGUAACUGGUCUGAGAGGAUGAUCAGUCAAAAUGGGACUGGGAAACGGUUCCAGCUCCUACGGGAGGCAGGCGGGGGGAAUAUUUGGCAAAGGGCGAAAGCCUGAUCCAGCCAUGCCGCGUGUGUGAAGAAGGUCUUCGGAUUGUAAAGCACUUUAAGUUGGGAGGCGUUACCAACAGAAUAAGCACCGGCUAACUUCGUGCCAGCCGCCGCGGUAAUUC
This 407-nucleotide ribosomal RNA is filed under the name uncultured bacterium. RNAcentral describes it as "partial 16S ribosomal RNA". It matches the Rfam family "Bacterial small subunit ribosomal RNA", at positions 30 to 526 of the family's 1533-position model. The record is from RNAcentral.